GUUUUUUUGUAUUUUU
Molecule: small RNA, 16 nt
Filed under: Arabidopsis thaliana (thale cress)
Lineage: Eukaryota; Viridiplantae; Streptophyta; Magnoliopsida; Brassicales; Brassicaceae
Description: ATSL119640
Source: RNAcentral